AUUGAACGCUGGCGGCAGGCCUAACACAUGCAAGUCGAGCGAGCGGCGGACGGGUGAGUAAUGUAUGGGGACUGCCCGAUAGAGGGGGAUAACUACUGUAAACGGUAGCUAAUACCGCAUCCUAUCGGAUAACCCAUAUGGGAUUAGCUAGUAGGUGAGGUAAUGGCUCACCUAGGCGACGAUCCCUAGCUGUUCUGAGAGGUUGAUCAGCCACACUGGGACUGGGACAAGGCCCAGACGCCGACGGAGGCAGAAGGGGGGAAUAUUGCACAAGGGGGGAAAGCCUGAUGAAGCCAGGCCGCGUGUAUGAAGAAGGCCCUAGGGUGGGAAAGUACUUUCAGUCGGGAGGCGUUACCGACAGAAGAAGCAACGGCUAACUCCGUGCCAGCAGCCGCGGUAAUUC
Molecule: ribosomal RNA, 403 nt
Filed under: uncultured bacterium
Lineage: Bacteria
Description: partial 16S ribosomal RNA
Rfam family: Bacterial small subunit ribosomal RNA
Source: RNAcentral